AAAAUAUCAUUUUGCAAGUAUAGGCCACAAUACAACAUACACAAUGAACAAAGGGGCUUCGAUUCUUACCUGAGAGGAAUAGAUCAAUUUUGAUCAAGCGAAAAAGAAGCUUGCUUACAAAAACAAACUCCGACAACCAAACCUACAAAAUAGAUUACAAACGGAGUUAAUUCUCAACAUAAAUUAAGCAUCUAUAGUGAGAUGAACCCUAAAAAAAUUGAUUAAACAAGGCCAAUAUUUAAGACACUGACACCAUGUCUUAUUAGAGAAUAUAUUGAGAAAGAGAGAUCGUGUUUUGGUUGCGGCAGCCAUUAUCGAGAGAGAGAGAGAUCGAGUUUUUAGUCAAAAAUUAGUCUAAAACUAACCAAUGUAACAGUAAUUAACCGAAUCAUUUAAAUUCUCUCCAUCCUUCUUGAAACAAGAAAACGACCAACUUUUUGCUUGAAUUAAUUUAUCUCUAGCUCCCAUAUAAUCUUCAUUAUUUAUCAUUUUUUCUGCCAUUUUUUUACAUCUCAUUGCUUCUAACUUACUCUGUUGACUCAUUCUCUCUCUCUUUUCUCAAUCUUCUCAAUCUUAAAAACCAAUUCAUAUGUUUGAAACCCUAGAAAACUAAAAUGAUGAAUUAAAUUUAAAUUUCAAUAAUUUGAAAUUUAAAAUAAAAAUAAAAAAAAAUUGAAAGAACUUGAAUAUGAUUAAUUACUUUGAAAUUUCUCACUAUUUCUCAAAACCCCCAAUUUGAAAACCCUGAUUUGAAAAAUCAAAAUUUUUAGGGUUUGUUCAAAACCCCAAAACGAAUUCACAGCGAAUUAAACAACAGAAAAAGAUGAAAGAGUAAGGGUGAGAAGAAGAUGCUUACGCAGCGAGAAUAUGAGAAGAAUCACAGCGAUGGAGAAGAUCACAGCGAUGAAGAAUCACGACGGUGGUGGUGGUGGUGGUGGUGGGUAGUGGUGGUGGUGGUGGUGACUAAGAAUAGAGAGAGAGAAGAGUUGAGAGAGAGAGAGAGAGAGAUCGAGUUUUGGUUGUGGUGGUGGUGGUGAGGGUGAGAGAGAGAGAUCGAGUUUUGGUUGUGGCAGCCAUUAUCGAGCGAGAGUCGGUGUAAGGUUAUGUGUUUUCUUUUUUUCGUUAUGUUAUAUAGUCUGGCGAAUAAUCUAUGGCGAAUUCACGGUGAAUGAAAAAACACCUAUUUGGGUGGGCGAAAAAAUGGUUGAUUCGCCGAGUUUUUUUGCUGAAUAGGUGUAUCUUGACAAAAAAAUCCGGUGUAUAGAUAGUUGACUCCAAAUACGCCAAAUUCUCCGAAACUUUAUCAAACAUCAACAAACACGGUGAAACACAGAGAAUCAGCUAUUCGCCACGGGGAACCGGUUAUCAAACAACAUACACAAUGAACAAAGGGGCUUCGAUUCUUACCUGAGAGGAAUAGAUCAAUUUUGAUCAAGCGAAAAAGAAGCUUGCUUACAAAAACAAACUCCGACAACCAAACCUACAAAAUAGAUUACAAACGGAGUUAAUUC
Molecule: long non-coding RNA, 1511 nt
Filed under: Aquilegia coerulea
Lineage: Eukaryota; Viridiplantae; Streptophyta; Magnoliopsida; Ranunculales; Ranunculaceae
Description: long non-coding RNA (ACOE_LNC002157)
Source: RNAcentral